RNAcentral lists this ribosomal RNA (262 nucleotides) under uncultured bacterium. Its description in RNAcentral is "partial 16S ribosomal RNA". It matches the Rfam family "Bacterial small subunit ribosomal RNA", at positions 793 to 1055 of the family's 1533-position model. The record is from RNAcentral.
GUCCACGCCGUAAACGAUGUCUACUAGCCGUUGGGUUCCUUGAGGACUUAGUGGCGCAGCUAACGCAAUAAGUAGACCGCCUGGGGAGUACGGUCGCAAGAUUAAAACUCAAAUGAAUUGACGGGGCCCGCACAAGCGGUGGAGCAUGUGGUUUAAUUCGACGCAACGCGAAGAACCUUACCAGGUCUUGACAUCCAGAGAACUUUCCAGAGAUGGAUUGGUGCCUUCGGGAACUCUGAGACAGGUGCUGCAUGGCUGUCGU